GAUGAACGCUGGCGGCGUGCCUAACACAUGCCAGUCGAACGGAAAGGCCCUGCUCUUGUGGGUUGCUCGUGUGGCGAACGGGUGAGUAACACGUGAGUAACCUGUACUUGACUUUGGGAUAACUUCAGGAAACUGGGGCUAAUACCGGAUAGGAGCUCCUGCUGCAUGGGGGGGGUUGGAAAGUUUCGGCGGUUGGGGCUGGACUCGCGGCUUCUCAGCUUGUUGGUGGGGUCGUGGCUUAGCCAGGCUAUGACGGGUACCCGGCAUGGGAGGGUGACCAGCCACAUUGGAACUGUGAUACGGCCCAGACUCCUGCAUGAUCCAGCAGGGGGGAAUAUUGCACAAUGGGCGGCAGCCUGAUGCAGCAACGCCGCGUGCGGGAUGACCGCCGUCGGUUUGUAAACCGCUUUCGCCUAUGACGAAGCGUGAGUGACGGUAAUGGGUAAAGGAGCACCGCCUAACUCCGUG
This 468-nucleotide ribosomal RNA is filed under the name uncultured bacterium. Its description in RNAcentral is "partial 16S ribosomal RNA". It matches the Rfam family "Bacterial small subunit ribosomal RNA", at positions 28 to 507 of the family's 1533-position model. The record is from RNAcentral.